Molecule: unclassified non-coding RNA, 300 nt
Filed under: Hevea brasiliensis (rubber tree)
Lineage: Eukaryota; Viridiplantae; Streptophyta; Magnoliopsida; Malpighiales; Euphorbiaceae
Source: RNAcentral
GGGAAAUGACAGCCAUGUAAUGCAUGAGAAAAAAUGGCAGAGGUGAUAGAGAAUCCCAAGUUGAUCAUGGGCACAAAAAAUGGUAAGUUGAUCAUGGGCACAAAAAAUGGUACUUGAACCAGCAAGGAAAAACUUAGAAGUUGAUUUUUGAUCUACCUUGAAAGGUAUGUCCACGUUGAUGGCAUUUAAUCGUUUACACUUGGGGAGUUUGGCAGGGAAAAGGAGAUACAUACAAGAAUUUCUUGUAAAUUUUUUAGCAUCCAAAGAAGUUGAUAUUAUUUUCUCUGAACUAUUUUUUUU